RNAcentral lists this unclassified non-coding RNA (395 nucleotides) under soil metagenome. RNAcentral's name for it is "partial contains 5.8S ribosomal RNA, internal transcribed spacer 2, and large subunit ribosomal RNA". The stretch from base 1 to 120 matches the Rfam family "5.8S ribosomal RNA", at positions 35 to 154 of the family's 154-position model. The record is from RNAcentral.
GAUGAAGAACGUAGCGAAAUGCGAUAAGUAAUGUGAAUUGCAGAAUUCAGUGAGUCAUCGAAUCUUUGAACGCACCUUGCGCCUUUUGGUAUUCCGAAAGGCACACCUGUUUGAGCGUCAUGAAUACCUCAAUCUCCAUCUUUUCUUCGGAUUGAUGGGUGACUUGGAUGUUGAGCCCUGCUGGUAUGCUAUAUCAGCUGGCUUUAAACUUAUUAGCCGGCUCUGUACUGGAUCGGUUUGACUCGACGUGAUAAUAUUAUCGUUGAGGAUGCAUGUCUCAUGCAGCCGGAAAGUAUCAAAGCAGCUUCUAGCUUGCCUUUAGUGCACUUUUACAUUUUAGACCUCAGAUCAGGUGGGACUACCCGCUGAACUUAAGCAUAUCAAUAAGCGGAGGA